RNAcentral lists this ribosomal RNA (497 nucleotides) under uncultured bacterium. RNAcentral describes it as "partial 16S ribosomal RNA". It matches the Rfam family "Bacterial small subunit ribosomal RNA", at positions 28 to 507 of the family's 1533-position model. The record is from RNAcentral.
GAUGAACGCUGGCGGCGUGCCUAAUACAUGCAAGUCGAGCGAACGGACGAGAAGCUUGCUUCUCUGAUGUUAGCGGCGGACGGGUGAGUAACACGUGGAUAACCUACCUAUAAGACUGGGAUAACUUCGGGAAACCGGAGCUAAUACCGGAUAAUAUUUUGAACCGCAUGGUUCAAAAGUGAAAGACGGUCUUGCUGUCACUUAUAGAUGGAUCCGCGCUGCAUUAGCUAGUUGGUAAGGUAACGGCUUACCAAGGCAACGAUGCAUAGCCGACCUGAGAGGGUGAUCGGCCACACUGGAACUGAGACACGGUCCAGACUCCUACGGGAGGCAGCAGUAGGGAAUCUUCCGCAAUGGGCGAAGGCCUGACGGAGCAACGCCGCGUGAGUGAUGAAGGUCUUCGGAUCGUAAAACUCUGUUAUUAGGGAAGAACAUAUGUGUAAGUAACUGUGAACAUCUUGACGGUACCUAAUCAGAAAGCCACGGCUAACUACGUG